CGAACGCUGGCGGCGUGCUUAACACAUGCCCGUCGACCGGAAAGGCCCUGCUUUUGUGGGGUGCUCGAGUGGCGAACGGGUGAGUAACACGUGAGUAACCUGCCCUUGACUUUGGGAUAACUUCAGGAAACUGGGGCUAAUACCGGAUAGGAGCUCCUGCUGCAUGGUGGGGGUUGGAAAGUUUCGGCGGUUGGGGAUGGACUCGCGGCUUAUCAGCUUGUUGGUGGGGUAGUGGCUUACCAAGGCUUUGACGGGUAGCCGGCCUGAGAGGGUGACCGGCCACAUUGGGACUGAGAUACGGCCCAGACUCCUACGGGAGGCAGCAGUGGGGAAUAUUGCACAAUGGGCGGAAGCCUGAUGCAGCAACGCCGCGUGCGGGAUGACGGCCUUCGGGUUGUAAACCGCUUUCGCCUGUGACGAAGCGUGAGUGACGGUAAUGGGUAAAGAAGCACCGGCUAACUACGUG
RNAcentral lists this ribosomal RNA (466 nucleotides) under uncultured bacterium. RNAcentral describes it as "partial 16S ribosomal RNA". It matches the Rfam family "Bacterial small subunit ribosomal RNA", at positions 30 to 507 of the family's 1533-position model. The record is from RNAcentral.